RNAcentral lists this ribosomal RNA (63 nucleotides) under salal root associated fungus UBCtra15222. Its description in RNAcentral is "partial 5.8S ribosomal RNA". It matches the Rfam family "5.8S ribosomal RNA", at positions 94 to 154 of the family's 154-position model. Rfam says of the family: 5.8S ribosomal RNA (5.8S rRNA) is a component of the large subunit of the eukaryotic ribosome. It is transcribed by RNA polymerase I as part of the 45S precursor that also contains 18S and 28S rRNA. Lineage: Eukaryota; Fungi; Ascomycota. The record is from RNAcentral.
GAAUCUUUGAACGCACCUUGCACCCUUUGGUAUUCCGAAGGGUACACCCGUUUGAGUGUCAUU